CUGAAGCAAACGGGCAGCCAUAUUACCACUCCCAAAUUAUGUGGACCGCAAACGGGCGGCCAUCAGAUUAGGAGGGAUGAAGGUUACAUUAACUGGAGAGAAAAAAGAAGGAAAUGAAUCGCCUCGGUUCCUCCUCAAAAUUGUUGAUGUUCUAAUAAGCCAUCUUUAUGCCGUGCGGUCACAUAACUCUACUGGUGGUUGGCUCUCACUGCGGAAACGCCCAUCGGAGUCAGACCUGUCCAACGAUCUGAACCCAAAAAAACAGAGGACAUCAGUGGAGCCUGUGCCUCCACUGAUGUCCUCUCAUGGAGCUCAGUGCACCAACCCCCCACAGCUCAGCCCUGUCCUCUGGAAACGUCCACAAAGGACACACGGGAGAGAAAGCUAUGGUUAUUUCAACCUCAGCAACUCCACUCCCCAACUAUGUCAACAAAUACACCAUCACAACACUGGAGCAGAGGCAGAAAUAUGAAGAGGAUUUUGACGCUGAGUAUCAUGAAUACGAAAUUAUUCAUGAUCGGAUCGCCGCUGCCUCAGAGAGGUUUGUUCAACUGACCUCUGAACUGGACCCGCUGCCUCCUUGGACAGAAGCUUAUCAGCAAAUGCAGGACAAUGUACUGGAAAAGUACAGAAUCUAUCAGAAAAGGUUUCGCAGAUAUCGUGAAGACAAAAAGAAAUACAUGUAUCUUCACCAUAAACUGGCACACAUAAAAGAGAGGCUUGCAGACUAUGACCAAGCACAGAAGACCAGGGUUUGAUCGAACUGGACUGGAAGACUGAGCAGCAGGUCCUGGAAUCUUUAUUUAUGUAUUUAUUUUGGCACUUAAAGUUGAUAAGUACAGAAUAUUUAUUUUGUGUAUUUUUAGUGUAUAAAAGCAAAUUAUUGGUGCCCCAUUUAUUACAGAUUAUAUUUAUACAUAAUGUGUGGUAUUAAAUGAAUUUGCAAUGAAUUGCAAAUAUGAAACUCAAAUUUGCUAAUUUUCAUUAUAGAUAUGCUCAAUUUUAGAUUUCUAAAAAUAAUUGGGUUUAUUUUCCUAGUUGAAACUAAAAGGUUUGGACUACCGUAUUUGCUCUAUUAAAGGUCUCCUCCCUAUUAAACACCCCCCCCCCCCCAUUUUUUUUCGGCACACAGCAAGUCGUGAAAUUGUGAAUUCCUGAGAGAACAGAGUAACGACGGGCAGGUGUGCACAAACCCGGUGCAAGAGUUUGUGCACGCACCAGUGUCCAUCGAGCCGGAACAAUGCCAGGUGCACCACAUGGCGCCACUUAUGUGGAAGAAAUAAAAACAACUUGCGCUUUUAGAAACCUCUGAUCCCCAGUCAGAGACUUUACCACUGAGCUAUGGAGCUGUUCUUUGAAAGCUGCGGGAAUCUGCCUCAUAUCAGGAAGGACAUGGAAGUAUUACAAAACAAAAUUAAAAUCCCACACAAUAUAAAAACACCACAUUUAUCAAGGGAGCAAUACAAAUAUAAUCAAUACAACCAAACCUGAGAAGAUCAACUGUGGCCUCAAUCAUUAGAACUUUCCACAAUGAGAACCAGUAAGUCUUCAGCAUGAACUACAGUAAACAUUACAGUACUGUAGGCUACUCUUACUGUAAUUGUCAAAUGAUUGUACACUGCAUGCCAAUGUGCAUACAAUGUACAUACAAUGUAGAGCUCCUUGUUGCAUUUCUUGAUGAACUAUCUCUAAUCUGUAGAGCUGCUAGUGUAAUUUAUGUCAUUGUGUGGGACAGCAUCAGGUUCUACCACGCUCAUCUGGUGCAGGCAUGGUUGUGACCCUUCUUCAGGCCAUGGACAAUGCCUGCGAUGACAUAACAGCAGACCAGUAUCAGGCCUGGAUUUGUCAUGCGUGAAGGUUGAUGGACUAAGCCAAGAUUCCGCAGGGCAUCUCUGGGAUCUUUGGUGUUGGCCUCGUGGAAUCGGUCAUACAAAGCAAAAUAAUCAGCAGAACUGGUUACUGGUUGUCCAUCACAGUCUGGUACCAGCUUCUUACAGUUCAGCCAAGGAAGCACGAGGAGUUAACGAGGCAGCUGGAAGACAGCGUGUCUAAAGAGGAGAGGAAAGCUCUUGACAGGGAGCAGGAAAGGCUGCUUCUUGAAAUGGAAAAGAAGGGAGAGAAGAUCGGUAAACUCUACCGAUAUCAAAGACAGGUAAAACGUGUCCACAAAGAAGCCAAGAGUCAGAAGGGCCAUGGAGACGAGGAGCAAAGGGCUACAACGGCGGCUCCGAGACGUCACUCUGCUGUACAGCUCAAACUCAGACAAGAAGAACUCAGCAGGAGGAGUUUGGGGCUGUUGAGGGACUUGAAGGCAGUGCAGGCUUCAAGGCCUGAGCC
Thalassophryne amazonica is the source of this 2337-nucleotide RNA transcript. It is a transcript of the gene named RNA polymerase II elongation factor ELL3-like, with no coding region annotated. The transcript is spliced from 9 exons. Lineage: Eukaryota; Metazoa; Chordata; Actinopteri; Batrachoidiformes; Batrachoididae. The record is from RefSeq and is a predicted model, not a curated record.